Homo sapiens (human) is the source of this 2020-nucleotide long non-coding RNA. Ensembl annotates it as septin 7 pseudogene 11. Its record names the gene SEPTIN7P11. The record is from Ensembl. Lineage: Eukaryota; Metazoa; Chordata; Mammalia; Primates; Hominidae.
GAGGGGCUGCUGGGGCUUCCAGGAGGGCGCAUGUGCGGAUGACUGGCCGCAGGCGGCCGGGCGGGCUGUAACCCGCCGCUGAACUAGCGCUUCUGUGUCCAGAGGCUUCGGCCUGGCCGCCGUCGCCUGUAAGCUACGAGGAGGAGAUUUACGACUUGGCCGGGCGCAGCAAAGGCCAGACUCUGCGCGAACAGGCGCUGCGCACCAACCGGCAGGCACCUGGCGGGCACCAUCGCACGGUGGCGCAGAAGCCCCUCAAUGGCCAGCGCCAGCUGCAGCCGCGGCCGCGCAGUCGUCCCACCUGAGCUUGGGCGAAUGUGGAUUGGGAAAGUCGACAUUAAUCAACUCAUUAUUCCUCAUAGAUUUGUAUUCUCCAGAGUAUCCAGGUCCUUCUCACAGAAUUAAAAAGACUGUACAGCUGGCAGCCUGUUAUCGAUUACAUUGAUAGUAAAUUUGAGGACUACCUAAAUGCAGAAUCAUGCGUGAACAGACAUCAGAUGCCUGAUAACAGGGUGCAGUGUUGUUCAUACUUCAUUGCUCCUUCAGGACAUGGACUUAAACCAUUGGAUAUUGAGUUUAUGAAGCGUUUGCAUGAAAAAGUGAGUAUCACCCCACUUAUUGCCAAAGCAGACACACUCACACCAGAGGAAUGCCAACAGUUUAAAAAACAGUCCCUCCAAUAUUGCCUGGGAACUUCUGGUAACAGCAAACGGAGGCCCCAUAUGAAAAAAAACAGGAAAAGGUUUUGUCACAAUGGAAAAUACAUGCAGAGUAAAAGGGUAAGAUAUUUCUGAAGGAAAUCAGAAAAGCCCCAAAUCGAGACUUGAUUCUUAUUACUCAUAAGAGAAGACUGAAGCUUUAACAAUUAAUCUGCUUAGAACUGCAAUGUAAACUGCACGCAGCUAUUACCUGAUUUUUAUUUCCACUACUUUUCUUCCAUCACAAGCCCUAUGCAGAAAAAAAAGUGCUCUAUUUCAUGCCAAGGUUACUCAACACCCAGAAGGCAGAACAGCGACCUCUCUCUCUCCAUCUGCAGAAGCCAAGCAAGCGUGUGGGCCUCCGUAUGCAUCCUUUCUUUUAUUCACUUUCUAAAUGCUGUAACGGCUACCAUCUACCAGGUGGUCACAAACCAUCUCUAAAGUCAAUCUGAGGUUAACCCACUCGACUUGUGAGGGAUCCACCUAUACUGCUUCUGCACCUGUAAUAUGACUAAGGAGACGGUGGCUGCACACGUAGUUAACACCGAUUGUACUGUGACUCCGCCUUUCCGCAGCAGCUCUCCGGCUCUUUAGAGUCCUUUUGAGCCAAGCUGGACGUGAGGCAUAAAGGAGCUCUUUGCAAACGCCAGGAGGAAUUUCUUCAGGGUGAAGUUAACUUUCAAUCGGCUUCAUUCUAAGAGAAAUAUGUGAAGCAAACAAACGGGAACUUUUUUUCUCAUCUUUUGCAUUUCAAGCAAAAACUAAUAAAAUUAGAUGUUUCCACCGUCAUGCUCAGUCUCGAAGCUGCCAGCAGAUCCCGCUUCUAACUUUUAACACAGGCACGCAGGAAAUCGGGAAAUCCCUGCAGUUCCCUCAGAAGCUACAGUAUCAGCAGUUCCUGAAGCGCAAACCAAAACCCAACAUCAUGUACCCCUCCAAAGAGCUCAGCCGGUCUGUUGAGGGACGGAAACAGCGGCGAGGUGCUCUGGAAGCCGUGACAGCCUGGCCGAAAUGAACCAGGUCCCUCCUGGUCGAGCCUACCUCCCUAGGGACAAGAAACGUACCUCUCUUCCCUCAUAUCCAGAGGAAGCAAUGGAGGGAUGUGGCGCUUAGACUCACUCUACUAUCCAGUCCAUCGAAGUCCUAAUAAUCUUCAGGAUGCGACAGAGUGAGACUCCGUCUCAACAAAACAAAACAAAACAACCCUAAGGAAAAGAGAGAAUGUACUGGAGGAUAGGAAGUAUCUAGGAGAACCUUCUUUUUUUUUUUUCUUAUAUUUAAAUUUAAGCCUUCAUUUAUAUAAAAUAAAACGCAUGAAACCU